RNAcentral lists this ribosomal RNA (441 nucleotides) under Escherichia coli. RNAcentral describes it as "partial 23S ribosomal RNA". It matches the Rfam family "Bacterial large subunit ribosomal RNA", at positions 2251 to 2691 of the family's 2925-position model. The record is from RNAcentral. Lineage: Bacteria; Pseudomonadati; Pseudomonadota; Gammaproteobacteria; Enterobacterales; Enterobacteriaceae.
ACAGUGUCUGGUGGGUAGUUUGACUGGGGCGGUCUCCUCCUAAAGAGUAACGGAGGAGCACGAAGGUUGGCUAAUCCUGGUCGGACAUCAGGAGGUUAGUGCAAUGGCAUAAGCCAGCUUGACUGCGAGCGUGACGGCGCGAGCAGGUGCGAAAGCAGGUCAUAGUGAUCCGGUGGUUCUGAAUGGAAGGGCCAUCGCUCAACGGAUAAAAGGUACUCCGGGGAUAACAGGCUGAUACCGCCCAAGAGUUCAUAUCGACGGCGGUGUUUGGCACCUCGAUGUCGGCUCAUCACAUCCUGGGGCUGAAGUAGGUCCCAAGGGUAUGGCUGUUCGCCAUUUAAAGUGGUACGCGAGCUGGGUUUAGAACGUCGUGAGACAGUUCGGUCCCUAUCUGCCGUGGGCGCUGGAGAACUGAGGGGGGCUGCUCCUAGUACGAGAGGA